GAAAUUAUACCAAAAAAAAAAAAAGCAAUUUCACAAUUAACUAAGCCUGAGAUACACCUAAUUAUAUUCCUAAAACAAAUUCUUCGUCCAAGACCCAGCGCACUCACCAACCAACAAGACAAAAUACGACGGAAAAAUUCACAUCAUACUGCGCUCAAUGCAUAAUUAAUUAUUGAAUGGUGUAAACUUCUUAUCUGAAACGUCCCUUUCCUCAUAUUUUCUUUACUUUCCUUCAAAUUCAC
RNAcentral lists this unclassified non-coding RNA (242 nucleotides) under Hevea brasiliensis (rubber tree). Lineage: Eukaryota; Viridiplantae; Streptophyta; Magnoliopsida; Malpighiales; Euphorbiaceae. The record is from RNAcentral.